UGGCUCAGAGUGAACGCUGGCGGCGUGCUUAACACAUGCAAGUCGAACGGACUUAAGGGGCUUGCUUCUUAAGUUAGUGGCGCACGGGUGAGUAAUAUAUAGCUAACCUGCCCUUUAGUGGGGGACAACAGUUGGAAACGACUGCUAAUACCCUAUACUCCUUCUUACUAUAAGGUAAGUUGGGAAAGAUUUAUCGCUAAAGGAUGGGGCUUUAUUGUAUCAGCUAGUUGGUGGGGUAAUGGCCUACCAAGGCUAUGACGCAUACCUGGUCUGAGAGGAUGAUCAGGCACACUGGAACUGAGACACGGUCCAGACUCCUACGGGAGGCAGCAGUGGGGAAUAUUGCACAAUGGAGGAAACUCUGAUGCAGCAACGCCGCGUGGAGGAUGACGCAUUUCGGUGUGUAAACUCCUUUUAUAGGGGAAGAUAAUGACGGUACCCUAUGAAUAAGCACCGGCUAACUCCGUGCCAGCAGCCGCGGUAAUACGGAGGGUGCAAGCGUUACUCGGAAUCACUGGGCGUAAAGGAUGCGUAGGCUGGAAAUCAAGUCGAGAGUGAAAUCCAACGGCUCAACCGUUGAACUGCUCUCGAAACUGGUUACCUAGAAUAUGGGAGAGGUAGAUGGAAUUAGUGGUGUAGGGGUAAAAUCCGUAGAUAUCACUAGGAAUACCGAUUGCGAAGGCGAUCUACUGGAACAUUAUGA
Molecule: ribosomal RNA, 703 nt
Filed under: uncultured bacterium
Lineage: Bacteria
Description: bacterial SSU rRNA
Rfam family: Bacterial small subunit ribosomal RNA
Source: RNAcentral